Molecule: unclassified non-coding RNA, 207 nt
Filed under: Hevea brasiliensis (rubber tree)
Lineage: Eukaryota; Viridiplantae; Streptophyta; Magnoliopsida; Malpighiales; Euphorbiaceae
Source: RNAcentral
UUUCUUUUUUUUUAAAAAAAAAAUUAAAGUUUGAGAUUUUUAUUGGAUAUUUUUACUGUUAAAAUUAAUGACAUAAUAGACGGCAUGGUACAAUUGUAAAUAAGUUUAAGUUUAGGGUAUUUUUAUUAAAAAAAAGGUUUGCGUUAGAAUUAUAAAAACCUAAAAGUUUAUUUAUUUUUGGAUAUUAUCUCUUAGAAUAAGCUUAUU